GACGAACGCUGGCGGCGUGCUUAACACAUGCAAGUCGAACGAUGAAGCCGGAGCUUGCUCCGGUGGAUUAGUGGCGAACGGGUGAGUAACACGUGAGCAAUCUGCCCUUGACUCUGGGAUAACUGCGGGAAACUGUAGCUAAUACCGGAUACGACACCUUGGGGCAUCCCAGGGUGUGGAAAGAAUUUCGGUCAAGGAUGAGCUCGCGGCCUAUCAGCUAGUUGGUGAGGUAAUGGCUCACCAAGGCGACGACGGGUAGCCGGCCUGAGAGGGUGACCGGCCACACUGGAACUGAGACACGGUCCAGACUCCUACGGGAGGCAGCAGUGGGGAAUAUUGCACAAUGGGCGAAAGCCUGAUGCAGGGACGCCGCGUGAGGGAUGAAGGCCUUCGGGUUGUAAACCUCUUUUAGCAGGGAAGAAGCGAAAGUGACGGUGCCUGCAGAAAAAGCACCGGCUAACUACGUGCCAGCAGCCGCAGUAA
RNAcentral lists this ribosomal RNA (483 nucleotides) under uncultured bacterium. Its description in RNAcentral is "partial 16S ribosomal RNA". It matches the Rfam family "Bacterial small subunit ribosomal RNA", at positions 28 to 523 of the family's 1533-position model. The record is from RNAcentral.